RNAcentral lists this ribosomal RNA (445 nucleotides) under uncultured bacterium. Its description in RNAcentral is "bacterial SSU rRNA". It matches the Rfam family "Bacterial small subunit ribosomal RNA", at positions 54 to 512 of the family's 1533-position model. The record is from RNAcentral.
CAUGCAGUCGACGAUGAAGGAGGAGCUUGCUCCUCCGGAUUAGUGGCGAACGGGUGAGUAAUACGUGAGCAAUGUGCCCUUGACUCUGGGAUAAGCGCUGGAAACGGCGUCUAAUACCGGAUACGACCCUCGGAGGCAUCUCCUGAUGGUGGAAAGAACUUCGGUCAAGGAUCAGCUCACGGCCUAUCAGCUAGUUGGUGAGGUAACGGCUCACCAAGGCGACCACGGGUAGCCGGCCUGAGAGGGUGACCGGCCACACUGGGACUGAGACACGGCCCAGACUCCUACGGGAGGCAGCAGUGGGGAAUAUUGCACAAUGGGCGCAAGCCUGAUGCAGCAACGCCGCGUGAGGGACGAAGGCCUUCGGGUUGUAAACCUCUUUUAGCAGGGAAGAAGCGAAAGUGACGGUACUUGCAAAAAAAGCACCGGCUAACUACGUGCCAGC